AAAUAAAAUACCAGGCUCAGAAUGAACGCUGGCGGCGUGCUUAAACACAUGCAAAGUCGCACGAGAACUCUUUCUGCUUGCAGAAGAUAGUAAAGUGGCGCACGGGUGAGUAACGCGUGGGUAAUCUACCUCUGAAUUGGGGAUAACAUUGUGAAAGCGAUGCUAAUACCGAAUAAUAUCCCGAGAACUUAGGCUUUUGGGAUCAAAGGUGGCCUCUACAUGUAAGCUACUGUUUAGAGAUGAGCCCGCGUACCAUUAGCUUGUUGGUAGGGUAAUGGCCUACCAAGGCAACGAUGGUUAGCUGGUCUGAGAGGAUGAUCAGCCACACUGGAACUGACACACGGUCCAGACUCCUACGGGAGGCAGCAGUGAGGAAUUUUGCGCAAUGGGGGAAACCCUGACGCAGCAACGCCGCGUGAGUGAUGAAGGCUUUCGAGUCGUAAAGCUCUGUCAAGUGAGAGGGCCUAUCCCGCGUUAAUAUCGCGGGAUACUGACGGUAUCACUGAAGGAAGCACCGGCUAACUCCGUGCCAGCAGCCGCGGUAAUACGGAGGGUGCAAGCGUUAUUCGGAAUUAUUGGGCGUAAAGGGCGCGUAGGCGGUCUUUUAAGUCAGAUGUGAAAGCCCGGGGCUCAACCCCGGAAGUGCAUUUGAAACUAAGGGACUUGAGUAUGGGAGAGGGAAGUGGAAUUCCUGGUGUAGAGGUGAAAUUCGUAGAUAUCAGGAGGAACACCGGUGGCGAAGGCGACUUCCUGGACCAAUACUGACGCUGAGGCGCGAAGGCGUGGGGGCAAACAGGAUUAGAUACCCUGGUAGUCCACGCAGUAAACGUAACACUAGGUGUAGCGGGUAUUGACCCCUGCUGUGCCGCAGUUAACGCAUUAAGGUCCGCCGGGAGUAUAGAUG
RNAcentral lists this ribosomal RNA (904 nucleotides) under uncultured bacterium. Its description in RNAcentral is "bacterial SSU rRNA". It matches the Rfam family "Bacterial small subunit ribosomal RNA", at positions 1 to 888 of the family's 1533-position model. The record is from RNAcentral.